Molecule: ribosomal RNA, 439 nt
Filed under: uncultured bacterium
Lineage: Bacteria
Description: partial 16S ribosomal RNA
Rfam family: Bacterial small subunit ribosomal RNA
Source: RNAcentral
CCUACGGGUGGCAGCAGUGGGGGAUAUUGCACAAUGGGCGAAAGCCUGAUGCAGCGACGCCGCGUGAGGGAAGACGGUCUUCGGAUUGUUAACCUCCGUCUAUGGGGAAGAAAAUGACGGUACCCAAAGCGGAAGCUCCGGCUAACUACGUGCCAGCUGCCGCGGCAAUACGUAGGCAGCAAGCGUAGUCCGGAUUUACUGGGUGUAAAGGGAGCGUAGGCGGGAUGGCAAGUAGAAUGUUAACUCCAUCGGCUAAACCGGUGGCUGCGUUCUACACUGCCGUUCUUGAGUGAAGUAGAGGCAGGCGGAAUUCCUGGUGUAGCGGUGAAAUGCGUAGAUAUUAGGAGGAACACCAGUGGCGAAGGCGGCCUGCUGGGCUUUAACUGACGCUGAGGCUCGAAAGCGUGGGGAGCAAACAGGAUUAGAUACCCGAGUAGUC